RNAcentral lists this unclassified non-coding RNA (912 nucleotides) under uncultured Bordetella sp. RNAcentral's name for it is "partial 16S-23S ribosomal RNA intergenic spacer". It matches the Rfam family "Bacterial small subunit ribosomal RNA", at positions 10 to 912 of the family's 1533-position model. The record is from RNAcentral. Lineage: Bacteria; Pseudomonadati; Pseudomonadota; Betaproteobacteria; Burkholderiales; Alcaligenaceae.
AGUUCGAUUAUGGCUCAGAUUGAACGCUGGCGGGAUGUUUACACAUGCAAGUCGAACGGCAGCACGGACUUCUGGUCUGUGGCGAGUGGCGGAAUGGGUGAGUAAUGUAUCGGAACGUGCCUAGUAGCGGGGAUAACUACGCGAAAGCGUAGCCAAUACCGCAAUACCCUUCGGGGGAAAGCGGGGGACCUUCGGGCCUCGCACUAUUAGAGCGCAGCCGAUAUCGGAUUAGCUAGUUGGUGGGGUAACGGCUCUCACCAAGGCGACGAUCCGUAGCUGGUUUGAGAGGACGACCAGCCACAUCGGGACUGAGACACGGGCCCAGACUCCUACGGAGGCAGCAGUGUGGGGAAUUUUGGACAAUGGGGGAAACCCUGAUCCAGCCAUCCCGCGUGUGCGAUGAAGGCCUUCUCGGGUUGUAAAGCACUUUUGGCAGGAAAGAAACGGCACGGGAUAAUACCCUCGUGCAACUGACGGUACCUGCAGAAUAAGCACCGGCUAACUACGUGCCAGCAGCCGCGGUAAUACGUAGGGUGCAAGCUAAUCGGAAUUACUGGGCGUAAGCGUGUGCAGGCGGUUCUGGAAAGAAAGAUGUGAAAUCUCAGAGCUUAACUUUUGAACUGCAUUUUUAACUACCGAGCUAGAGUGUGUCAGAGGGAGGUGGAAUUCCGCGUGUAGCAGUGAAAUGCGUAGAUAUGCGGAGGAACACCGAUGGCGAAGGCAGCCUCCUGGGGAUAACACUGACGCUCAUGCACGAAAGCGUGGGGAGCAAACAGGAUUAGAUACCCCAUAGUCCACGCCCUAAACGAUGUCAACUAGCUGUUGGGGCUCUCGGGCCUUUGGUAGCGCAGCUAACGCGUGAAGUUGACCGCCUGGGGAGUACGGUCGCAAGAUUAAAACUCAAAGGAAUUA